RNAcentral lists this long non-coding RNA (526 nucleotides) under Hordeum vulgare. RNAcentral describes it as "long non-coding RNA (HVUL_LNC005366)". The record is from RNAcentral. Lineage: Eukaryota; Viridiplantae; Streptophyta; Magnoliopsida; Poales; Poaceae.
UCUACCGGCGGGCCCCCACUUGCGACAAGACUUCUCCAUCCGGAUCCCACUCGGUACCUUCUAUACCUAUUGUAAGCCAGGGGUUGGCAUAUAAAGCUCCAUGGCACUGCCCCAUGCAAGGGCUUGGCUGAUCACACACCCACACAUGCAGGAGAGGCAAAGAGAGCUCCCGCCUCCUUCUCCCUCCUCCAUCACACAACUCAAGGAGCAUAUGGUAUCCUCAUCCGGAUUAUCAACCAACUCAAGCAGGACUAGGGGUGUUACCUCCCAUGGAGGGCCCCGAACCUGGGUACUUCGUGUGUCUCGCACCACUCGUUCCUAAUCCCGUUUCCGGAGCCCGGCGGCGUCCUUUCGGUCCCAACCACGUUCGAUUAGCCACCCCAUGGCAUCUGUAGUGAGAAAAUGAUAACAGAACCCUAGUCCUUAUUUCCAAGCAUUUAUAUAAUGUUUUCUCAUUGUUUUCCACUUGUUACGUCUCUGAUUUUAUUUAUUCAGAUCAUAAGAAUCUAUUUUUACUAUCCAUACU